Molecule: long non-coding RNA, 525 nt
Organism: Macaca fascicularis (crab-eating macaque)
Lineage: Eukaryota; Metazoa; Chordata; Mammalia; Primates; Cercopithecidae
Source: Ensembl
GCAGAACUGAAAUUGUGUAAGCUCCGUUUCAAGGCCCUGAGGUCCAGACCCCUGGCUAUUCUUGACCUGCAGCAGCCUUUAACCCUUAGCUCCUGCAUCUCCAGCCUGAGCUUCCACCCAGCUGCUCUUGACCAGCUUUGUUCAUCUGCUCUUCAUGCCUUCAGUAUUAAAGAUGUCCCUCUCCAUGGAGAGCUGCCUGGAGCUGAGAGCGGUGUGACGGACCUGAAGCCAGCAUAGCACUGGUUCUUACCCAAGGCUCAAGGUGACCAUUGCCUGGUUUCUGCUGGUGUUUAUUCAAAGCCCAAGGGCUCUCCAGUCAGCAGGUGGUGAAUCUAGCCAGACUUGUAUCCUAUGCUUCAGGGCAAUGAGCUUCCCCUCAGCCUAAGGUGAGUCUAUGAAUGCCCUCUGGGAGUCAGGGUUGAAGUCAGAACACUCUGGAAUGUAUUUGGUUCUCUAUUCUACUGUGGCCAAGUUGUUACUCAAGCUGCAAAUCAACAUUCUUUCCACUCUUCCCUCUCCUUUCCU